RNAcentral lists this ribosomal RNA (253 nucleotides) under uncultured bacterium. RNAcentral's name for it is "partial 16S ribosomal RNA". It matches the Rfam family "Bacterial small subunit ribosomal RNA", at positions 524 to 776 of the family's 1533-position model. The record is from RNAcentral.
UACGUAGGGGGCGAGCGUUGUCCGGAAUUAUUGGGCGUAAAGAGCGUGUAGGCGGUUCGGUAAGUCUGCUGUGAAAUCCUGGGGCUCAACCCCGGGCGUGCAGCGGAUACUGCCGGGCUAGAGGGUGGUAGAGGCGAGUGGAAUUCCCGGUGUAGCGGUGAAAUGCGCAGAUAUCGGGAGGAACACCAGUAGCGAAGGCGGCUCGCUGGGCCACUCCUGACGCUGAGACGCGAAAGCCAGGGGAGCAAACGGG